UUAAAUUCAGCUUCUCGGGCUUCGACAGUUCUAGAUAGAUUCACCUGUGAAGUUUUGAAAGCGUGGAGCUAGAGAACACGAGAACAGGCCCUUAACCCUGCAUGUUAAAUAUGUGAUGUGGAGUUAAUGAGAAGAGAUCAUGAAAUUGGGAGACUGAUUGUGUCGCAUAUACUCCCUCCUUUCAUAAAUAUAAGUCUUUUUAGAGGUUUUCGUAGAGGACUACAUACGAAUGUAUAUAGACAUACUUUAGAAUAUAGAUUCAUUAAUUUUGCACCGUAUGUAGUCCCUAUUGAAAUAUCUAAAAAGGCUUAUAUUUAGAAACGAAGGGAGUAUCAUUUAAUUAGCUGUGCACAUGAUCCAACAAAGAUAAAGUCGAAGAAUGUUGCACUGGCUUCAGAGUAUGUCUGGUACACGGACACCGUGAAUGAGGUCCGGUGCACACGCCCUACCAUGCAUGAUCGUCCGCUGCAUACGCUAGUUGCAUGAUCUAUUGAACGGCCAUACGUGAAGGUCCCCUAUAAACUAUGAAAUGGAGAGGGCUAGGGUGAGCUUAAUUAUCAUUUCUAUUAAUAUAAAAGCAUAGCCUCUGUUUGUUACAAUUACAAUUACGCUUAAGUUUGAUCAUCAUUCACCAGAACUGUCCCUUUCAGAUUAGAAACUGGUUCAACCAAGGAUUAUGGGAUUGUAUUUAUUUUAAGUGAAAACAGUUUCAUUUUUGCAAUGACAAGCAAAUUACCGUGCAAUUUAGAACCAGUAUGGAUGAGUAAUUCAAGGAAAAUGGUUUGUAUCAGUAACUCAGUAAUGUGAUUGUUAACAUGUCUAAAUGAUCUAACAAUUGCAAGCACCUUCAUUUGACUUUUCUACUCUUCUGCGCAUCAGCUUGAACAUCGAUGCCUUAAUCGAACCCGCGAUCAAACCACCAAGGCAAAGAGGAGGCAUUGUCUAAGAAAGUGGCCUAUCACCGGAGGAAAACCACGCUUUGUCAGCUCCAAAAGGCCAAAGAAUGCCAUGACGCCAUUUGUCUCCGGCUAGGGAGAAGGUCCUCUGCCCUCUCGCUCUAGUUGAGCCUGUACCAUCCGGAAGCAGAGUUGCUCACCUGACCACACAUGGAUAUAUAGUUCACUUAUGGACGUAACAAGAGUAUGGAUUUGUUUGAUCUUUGCCGUAAAACUUUUAACCAUCCAAAAUCAAUAACUAAAUCAUCUUCUUCUGGAGCGUAUUAGCACUAGUCUUAAUAACUNNNNNNNNNNCAAGCAGAUUUGCUCACCUGACCACACAUGGAUAUAUAGUUCACUUAUGGACGGAACAAGAGUAUGGGUUUGUUUGAUCUUAGCCGUAAAACUUUUAACCAUCCAAAAUCAACAACUAAAUCAUCUUCUUCUGGAGCGUAUUAGCACUAGUCUUAAUAACUCAGUUAUCUUCUAACAUCUCACUGGUAAUUUGCUUCUAGUAUGCAACUUGUGCAAGGCUCUGAGACCCAACAUGUGUUCUUAUCGCUGCUGGAGACGAUGCCAAGACAUGGUAUUAAAUACACAUGGAACUGCGGGACUCAUCUCACAUGCAUGAUAUGCAUGCCUUGGAGAUGUGAGCACAAUAGUUUC
This 1601-nucleotide long non-coding RNA is filed under the name Hordeum vulgare. Its description in RNAcentral is "long non-coding RNA (HVUL_LNC008680)". The record is from RNAcentral. Lineage: Eukaryota; Viridiplantae; Streptophyta; Magnoliopsida; Poales; Poaceae.